Molecule: transfer RNA, 66 nt
Filed under: pig gut metagenome
Rfam family: tRNA
About the family: Transfer RNA (tRNA) molecules are approximately 80 nucleotides in length. Their secondary structure includes four short double-helical elements and three loops (D, anti-codon, and T loops).
Source: RNAcentral
AACUUAGCUCAACGGUAGAGCAAUCGGCUGUUAACCGAUCGGUUGUAGGUUCGAAUCCUAUAGUUA